This 73-nucleotide transfer RNA is filed under the name Ailuropoda melanoleuca (giant panda). It matches the Rfam family "tRNA". From Rfam's summary of the family: Transfer RNA (tRNA) molecules are approximately 80 nucleotides in length. Their secondary structure includes four short double-helical elements and three loops (D, anti-codon, and T loops). Further hydrogen bonds mediate the characteristic L-shaped molecular structure. tRNAs have two regions of fundamental functional importance: the anti-codon, which is responsible for specific mRNA codon recognition, and the 3' end, to which the tRNAs corresponding amino acid is attached (by aminoacyl-tRNA synthetases). tRNAs cope with the degeneracy of the genetic code in two manners: having more than one tRNA (with a specific anti-codon) for a particular amino acid; and 'wobble' base-pairing, i.e. permitting non-standard base-pairing at the 3rd anti-codon position. The record is from Rfam by way of RNAcentral. Lineage: Eukaryota; Metazoa; Chordata; Mammalia; Carnivora; Ursidae.
ACCUGGCUGGCUCAGUCAGAAGAGCCUGGAACUCUUGAUCUCAGGGUCGUAGGUUCGAACCCCAUGUUGGGUG